CCUACGGGAGACAGCAGUGAGGAAUAUUGGUCAAUGGACGCGAGCCUGAACCAGCCAAGUCGCGUGCAGGAUGACGGCCCUACGGGUUGUAAACCUCUUUUGCCGGGGAGCAACGGGCGUCACGUGUGCCUCCACUGGGAUUACCCGGAGGAAAAGCAUCGGCUAAUUCCGUGCCAGCAGCCGCGGUAAUACGGAGGGGUCGGGCGGUUUCCGGAUUUUUUGGGUUUAAAGGGUGCGUAGGCGGGCUGUUAAAUCAGCUGUGAAAUUCCGCGGGUCAACCGCGGAAUUGCAUUUGAACCGGGCGGCCUUGAGUGCACACAAGGAUGCCGGAAUUCAUGGUGUAGCGGUGAAAUGCUUAGAUAUCAUGAAGAACUCCGAUCGCGAAGGCAAGUGUCCGGGGUGCACCUGACGCUGAGGCUCGAAAGUGCGGGUAUCAAACAGGAUUAGAUACCCUAGUAGUC
Molecule: ribosomal RNA, 461 nt
Filed under: uncultured bacterium
Lineage: Bacteria
Description: partial 16S ribosomal RNA
Rfam family: Bacterial small subunit ribosomal RNA
Source: RNAcentral